Molecule: ribosomal RNA, 709 nt
Filed under: uncultured Arcobacter sp.
Lineage: Bacteria; Pseudomonadati; Campylobacterota; Epsilonproteobacteria; Campylobacterales; Arcobacteraceae
Description: bacterial SSU rRNA
Rfam family: Bacterial small subunit ribosomal RNA
Source: RNAcentral
UGCGAGUCGUACGAGUACGGGUUACAGUUUACUGUAAUUGUCAGCUAAGUGGCGCACGGGUGAGUAAUAUAUAGUUAACCUGCCCUAGAGAGAGGGAUAACGUUUGGAAACGGACGCUAACACCUCAUAUGCCUUUAAGACAAAAGUCUGCAAGGGAAACAUUUAUGGCUCUAGGAUGGGACUGUACGGUAUCAGUUAGUUGGUGAGGUAAUGGCUCACCAAGACAAUGACACCUAACUGGUUUGAGAGGAUGAUCAGUCACACUGGAACUGAGACACGGUCCAGACUCCUACGGGAGGCAGCAGUGGGGAAUAUUGCACAAUGGACGAAAGUCUGAUGCAGCAACGCCGCGUGGAGGAUGACACAUUUCGGUGCGUAAACUCCUUUUAUAUAGGAAGAUAAUGACGGUACUAUAUGAAUAAGCACCGGCUAACUCCGUGCCAGCAGCCGCGGUAAUACGGAGGGUGCAAGCGUUACUCGGAAUCACUGGGCGUAAAGAGCGUGUAGGCGGAUUAAUAAGUUGGAAGUGAAAUCCUAUGGCUCAACCAUAGAACUGCUUUCAAAACUGUUUAUCUAGAAUAUGGGAGAGGUAGAUGGAAUUUCUGGUGUAGGGGUAAAAUCCGUAGAGAUCAGAAAGAAUACCGAUUGCGAAGGCGAUCUACUGGAACAUUAUUGACGCUGAGAUUCGAAAGCGUGGGGAGCAAACAGA